CAUCCAACCAAAAAUGAAAGCUGAACAGGAACAAGCCUCUACCAAUUUCUCUGCAAAAUCAAUACUUCCAUUAGCAUGAAUCCACAAAGGCAAUGGCAAUGCUUGUGACCUGUGAAGCUGAGCUAAGUGGCUUUGCUUUACGAAACAAGAGUACUCAAACUGUUAUCUUACCUGCACGACUGCACCAAUAUCAUUUGUGGGACUUUUUCCAUGUUUUUCGGGGAGGAGAUUAGUUGACAAAAUUUUGGUCAUUUCCUUUAUUUAUUUUAAGAGAGAAAAAAGAAAAAGGGAGCUAGACACAUACAUGCUGAAUUUGCCUACUUUAUAGCAAUGACAUUUCUAUACGAGGACGAAAACUUUAACAUGAGUGAUGGAUAGUAUACCUACUGUGAAUCAAUGUCCUUGUACACAAUGUACAAAUAGAUCUAGAUCUAUAUAUACGACUCUGCAGGUCAAACAGAAAUAUUGUGCCUCGUGUGCAUGUCUUAUUGUGUUGAGUCAAUCACAUCCUGUUUCGUCCUAGAGUAGAGUGACAAUAAUAAAGGGGCGGAUCAAGAAAUGGAGAGAAAAAUCAUUGAGUAAUUUAGCUAGAGAUAUAUGCAUAUGCAAUCAGAAAGGGAGGCAUUAGGAAUCACAUUGAAGCUAGACUUUGAGGAUCCAUGUGCCAAGCAAGCUGUUGAAGCGACACACAGAAAUCGGCGACACUUUUGAUGGAGGCAGAUCUCACAAGUACUCUAGGUAAGUAGUUUAGUCAUGCAUCUUUUUUAAUAAAGAAAAUAGAGUCUAGCUUCAUAUUUUAUGGCUAAGAGAAUCAGACCAAUCAUUAAAAUAGUCACAAGUGUUCAAUUCGAAACUAAAUUCUAAAAUGGUACACAGAUUUAAUUCGUAAGUAUGGCUAAAGUCUCAACAUGUACAUACUAAAUUGUGUUCUCCAAUUUGGAUGGGAGCAAUUGCUAUUACUGGUCUAUUUGGUUGGGCGUAAAUGAUGUUGUGUUUGACACAAAAAAGGACUAUUUUUCUACUUACAGGUAAUUUUCAAAACUGCCUAAUGGAAGUGUUUCUGGUCUUCAUAAUUAAGGAGCACAACAAAACUGCAGCGGUGGAGAUUUGAUGUGUGAGUGUUUGGCAGGGCUCCUCUGGAGGAGCCAGAGCCAAAACUGGAGCGGAGCCCUGCCAAAUAGACCCUUAGUGCUUAGUACAUUAUUGAGUUCGAGUUUGUCUCAAAACUUUUUUUAGUUUUUGAGUCUUUAAUCAGCCACAGGCUAGAUCUAAAAUAAUGAAUAGUUCGGUACAAAACUCUUGCAGAGGUUGGAAUAACAGAGGCCAGAAUAAAAUUUCCUUUAAUUUUCCUAAACAAAAAAGGUUACAGCCUCAGGAAGCGCGGUCAGCCUGUGACAUUUGUACUUGUGAUUGAUGAAGCAAAAGAAGAAAUCCGCUGACUAUAGAACUACCCACAUCUAGAGAUAUGCAUAUGCCUGGCAUGCAGGCAGGCUUCAGAUGCAGGCAAUACAAGAUCGAUUAUUCAAACAGA
RNAcentral lists this long non-coding RNA (1531 nucleotides) under Sorghum bicolor (sorghum). Its description in RNAcentral is "long non-coding RNA (SBIC_LNC011738)". Lineage: Eukaryota; Viridiplantae; Streptophyta; Magnoliopsida; Poales; Poaceae. The record is from RNAcentral.